AUGGAGAGGUGCAUGUUCCUACUGCUUCUGAUCACAUUCAAGGUGAUUCGUCACGGCAUGGAGUGGAACCACAUCAAGGAGCGGCGCAAGUUCACGGCGAGCUCGACUUGGAGUCCGAGUGUAAGCAUAUUCUUGAAGAUGAAAAGCGUAGUCUUGAGAGGAAGCGCAAGUUCUUGUUGCAGCUCGCCAUUGUUUGGAUCCAUCGUUGUCAUCAUGCUGCUGCUACAGCGCACCCUGAAGCCACACGGCCCGCCACUAUGGGCGAUGCAGACGGCCGUGUUGCUGGACCUGCUGGGCCUACUGGGCGCCUACGCCGCCGGCAGCUGCAGGGACUGGGAGACGUCGAUCUACGUCAUCACACUCGUCGCCGUUGUGGUCCUCUUCAUCGCGCUGCACGUGCUGCUGUCAUUCGACGUCGUAUUUAAGAAGGCCAAGAAGCUCAUGCCCAACAAGUGCUUUGAAGUCGAUGAUAAGCAAUGA
RNAcentral lists this ribosomal RNA (480 nucleotides) under Triticum aestivum (bread wheat). RNAcentral's name for it is "partial small subunit ribosomal RNA". The record is from RNAcentral. Lineage: Eukaryota; Viridiplantae; Streptophyta; Magnoliopsida; Poales; Poaceae.